UUUUCCUUUUUAUUAUUUUAAUUUUCUUUUUAAUAUUCUCCUUUCCUUUUCUGUUUACUUUUCUUUUGUAUUACUUUCUCCCUUUUGUUUUUUAGUUUUUAUCCCGACGGCCUCUCGCACAGAGUCGACGAUGAGAACGUACGUCUCCCUCCCACACUGCGUGAAUAUUACCGGAACCAUGUGUUAUUUCGUACACAAAAUACAUACAUAUAUAUAAAUGAUUGUUUCUCAGCUGCGUCAAAUAUGUUUCACAUUGAGCUUCUUUCCUUUCUUGUUCGUUGUGUUUAUUCUUCUUUUCCCGC
RNAcentral lists this long non-coding RNA (302 nucleotides) under Hordeum vulgare. RNAcentral describes it as "long non-coding RNA (HVUL_LNC006850)". Lineage: Eukaryota; Viridiplantae; Streptophyta; Magnoliopsida; Poales; Poaceae. The record is from RNAcentral.